RNAcentral lists this ribosomal RNA (490 nucleotides) under uncultured bacterium. Its description in RNAcentral is "partial 16S ribosomal RNA". It matches the Rfam family "Bacterial small subunit ribosomal RNA", at positions 30 to 507 of the family's 1533-position model. The record is from RNAcentral.
AUUGAACGCUGGCGGCAGGCCUAACACAUGCAAGUCGAACGGUAACAGGAAGCAUCUUGCUGCUUUGCUGGCGGGUGGCGUACGUGUUACUUAUGUCUCUGCCACUUCCUGGUGGAUGGGGUUAACUACUGGAAACUGUAACUAAUACCGCCUUAUGUCGCAAGACCAAAGAGGUUGGCCUUCGGCCCUCUCGCCUUCGCCUAUGCCGAGGUGGGAUUAGCUAGUAGGUGGGGUAAAGGCCUACCAAGGCGACGAUCCGUACCUGGUCUGAGAGGAUGAACAGCCACACUGGAACUGAGACACGGUCCAGACUCCUAAGGGAGGCAGCAGUGGGGAAUAUUGGACAAUGGGCGAAAGCCUGAUGCAGCCAUGCCGCGUGUAUGAAGAAGGUCUUCGGAUUGUAAAGUACUUUAAGUGGGGAGGAAGGGAAGAAAGUUAAUACCUUGGCGCAUUGACGUUACCAGCAGAAGAAGCACCGGCUAACUCCGUG